GGUAGAUAUGCAGGAGGGUAGGGAUGGGGUCCAGAGUGACCGAGACAAAUUGCAGGAUUGAGGCAAAAGAAAUCUGAUGAGGUUCAACAAGGACAAGUGCAGAGUCCUGCACUUAGGAUGGAAAAAUCCCAUCCCCCGCUAGAGGCUGUGGUCCGACUGGCUAAGCAUCAAUUAUGUAGAAAAGGACCUGGGGAUUACAAUUGAUGAGAAGCUGGAUAUGAGUCUGCAGUGUGCCCUUGUUGCCAAGAACCCUAAGGGC
Dermochelys coriacea (leatherback sea turtle) is the source of this 259-nucleotide long non-coding RNA. RefSeq lists it as uncharacterized. The record is from RefSeq and is a predicted model, not a curated record. Lineage: Eukaryota; Metazoa; Chordata; Testudines; Dermochelyidae. The transcript has 3 exons.